Molecule: non-coding RNA, 44 nt
Organism: Stegodyphus mimosarum
Lineage: Eukaryota; Metazoa; Arthropoda; Arachnida; Araneae; Eresidae
Source: Rfam
AAAAAGGCCCUUUUAAGGCCACAAAUUAAAAAAAAAAAGGGCAA